RNAcentral lists this ribosomal RNA (411 nucleotides) under Verrucomicrobiota bacterium. RNAcentral's name for it is "Verrucomicrobia bacterium partial 16S ribosomal RNA". It matches the Rfam family "Bacterial small subunit ribosomal RNA", at positions 355 to 776 of the family's 1533-position model. Lineage: Bacteria; Pseudomonadati; Verrucomicrobiota. The record is from RNAcentral.
UGGGGAAUAUUGCACAAUGGGCGCAAGACUGAUGCAGCGACGCCGCGUGGGGGAUGACGGCCUUCGGGUUGUAAACUCCUUUCGCUAGGGACGAAGCUUUUUGUGACGGUACCUAGAUAAGAAGCACCGGCUAACUACGUGCCAGCAGCCGCGGUAAUACGUAGGGUGCGAGCGUUGUCCGGAAUUACUGGGCGUAAAGGGCUCGUAGGUGGUUUGUCGCGUCGUCUGUGAAAUUCCGGGGCUUAACUCCGGGCGUGCAGGCGAUACGGGCAUAACUUGAGUACUGGAGGGGGAGCUGGAAUUACUGGUGUAGCGGUGAAAUGCGCAGAUAUCAGGAGGAACACCGAUGGCGAAGGCAGGUUACUGGGCAGUUACUUACGCUGAGGAGCGAAAGCAUGGGUAGCGAACAGG